Molecule: ribosomal RNA, 253 nt
Filed under: uncultured bacterium
Lineage: Bacteria
Description: partial 16S ribosomal RNA
Rfam family: Bacterial small subunit ribosomal RNA
Source: RNAcentral
UACGGAGGGUGCGAGCGUUGUCCGGAAUCAUUGGGCGUAAAGGGCGCGUAGGCGGCCGCUUGCGUCGAAUGUGAAAGCCCGGGGCUCAACCCCGGAACGGCAUCCGAUACGGGGCGGCUCGAGACCGAGAGAGGUGAGUGGAAUACCCAGUGUAGAGGUGAAAUUCGUAGAUAUUGGAUGGAACACCGGUGGCGAAAGCGGCUCACUGGCUCGGUUCUGACGCUGAGGCGCGAAAGCGUGGGGAGCAAACAGG